RNAcentral lists this long non-coding RNA (1776 nucleotides) under Mustela putorius furo (domestic ferret). RNAcentral describes it as "lncRNA (ENSMPUG00000026009.1)". Lineage: Eukaryota; Metazoa; Chordata; Mammalia; Carnivora; Mustelidae. The record is from RNAcentral.
AUGGUACUGGACAUGGUAUCUGAGGAUUUGGAUUUGUGUCACAAUCAGCCACUUGUUAGUUUAUUCUUGUCCUAUCCUGCAGGUACUAGACAAUGCUGUCAGGCGACCAUGGACACAGUUACAGAAGAGGACAAGUACAAUGUCCCUCACCAGAUGAUACCUUUCCUCUCCUACGCAACUCACACAUCUCUGGAGAAUUUUUACAAUUCCAGUCCUCUAGUACUGACUAUAAACAUAUGCAACUACUGUGAUACAUCAAAGAAGGGAUACUCUGGAAAGGAGAAAGAGAAAAGGAACAGCAGAAGAAACCAUGACUUUAAAUUCUCUUUAAAUCCCCAUAAAGUUAUAAUUACAAAUAGUCACUUGACAAAACAUCUCUGAACAAACCUUCCCUCAAUCUCUAUGCAGUUGAAGAAAGCAAGGAAUAUUUCCAAUAAAAUUCAUAAACUCAAAAAACAUCUGUCCUUUUGGCAAUCACUUCUUUCUAUUUUAUCAACCCAAUGCCUUCUUUGUCUCCUUACAGUCUCUGCAUAUUUAAAAAAAAGGAAUAGAGCUGAUGUCAUUUGCAACUGUUUAUUGACAAAGUUAACUGUUGAAGAGUUUCAUACUUCUGAAUUCUCCCUCUUUUAUCUAUCAUUAUAGGCUAGGUCUAUUCCACCCAAAAGAAAUUUGGGGCAUUGUAAAGCCCUCAAUGAUCUCCAUCUCCUGGUAUUUAUGACCUCAUAAAUUUCCUUCCCCUUAAAUGUGGAAGAGACCUGUGACUUAUUUUUAACUAAGUGGGCAUGGCAAAAGUAAAUGUAGUAAGAUGACACUACCAUGAUUAUGUUACGUAAGUCUAUGAAUCCUCUCCCUUGUAGACUUUGAUAAAGAAGGUUUUCAUGUGGCGAUAUCUACAUGAUAAGACCCCUGCUGGGGUGAGGAGACCCCAGUCAACAGCCAGCAAGGAGCUGAGGCCCUCAGUCCAACAACCCACAAGGAACUGCAUCCUCCAACAACCACAUCAGACUUGGGGUUGAUUCUCUCCCAGUCGAACCUUCAGAUGAGACAGUGGCCCCAAUUGACAAGAUGAUUGCAGCCUGUGAGUAACUAUGAAGCCAAGUACCCAGCUAAGCCAUGCUCAGAAUCCUGACCUAAUGAAUCUGUGACAUAAUAAAUGUAUUGUCUUAAACCACUAAAUUUGUGGUAAUUUAUUAUGCAACAAUACAUAUCUCAUACAGCAUCAAGAAUAAAGCAGAGAGAUUUGGGGAGAGGAAACUAGAAGCAUCUAAAAGACCUACUUAUAAAGAUAAGCAGGUUAUUUACUUAUUUUGAUUUAGAGGGUUAUUUUGAUUUAAGCAUUUCAAAAUGACAUGAGUAGGAAUAUAUGAUGUCCACACAGCUCUUUACUCAUCCAGGCUAAUCCAGGUGAAGCCAAUAUUGUCUGAACACUAUGCAGCCACAAAGUGCUAGACUUAGGAGAUUUCACUGCAAAAUUAUGUAUGUUCCUUCAUAACCAGGUAAUUCUAAAAAUCUGUCAAUUAUUUAACUUUAGCAUAUAUCUAUGUGUCAUUCUAAGAAUUGUACAGGUUACCAGACUAUUUAAUAAUGACUACCAAUAGUUUUAGUUGCUAAACCCAAUAUACAAGCCAAAUAUUCCAGCAACAUCAAUUAAAAAAGAGUUGUUUUAUAAAUAAACCUUUCUACAUUUUCACAUUUCAUGGAAAUGUAAGUAUUUUAGAAGAAUACGUGCUAAUCUCAUUGUGAUUAUGCAUUCACACACACAUACACACACAUCCA